AUUGAACGCUGGCGGCAGGCCUAACACAUGCAAGUCGAGCGGAUGAAGGGAGCUUGCUCCUGGAUUCAGCGGCGGACGGGUGAGUAAUGCCUAGGAAUCUGCCUGGUAGUGGGGGAUAACGUCCGGAAACGGGCGCUAAUACCGCAUACGUCCUGAGGGAGAAAGUGGGGGAUCUUCGGACCUCACGCUAUCAGAUGAUCCUAUGUCGGAUUAGCUAGUUGGUGGGGUAAAGGCCUACCAAGGCGACGAUCCGUAACUGGUCUGAGAGGAUGAUCAGUCAAAAUGGAAAUAAGAAAAGGGCCAAACUCCUAAGGGAGGGAGAAGGGGGGAAAAUUGGACAAAGGGGGAAAGCCUGAAACAGCCAAACCGCGGGGGGGAAGAAGGGUUUUGGGUUGGAAAACCCUUUUGAUGGGGAAGAAAAGCAGAAAGUUAAAAACCUUGUGUUUUUAAGGUACCAAAAGAAAAAGAACCGGCUAAAUUCGGG
This 484-nucleotide ribosomal RNA is filed under the name uncultured bacterium. RNAcentral describes it as "partial 16S ribosomal RNA". It matches the Rfam family "Bacterial small subunit ribosomal RNA", at positions 29 to 507 of the family's 1533-position model. The record is from RNAcentral.